GACGAACGCUGGCGGCGUGGAUUAGGCAUGCAAGUCGGACGGUAGGGCUUUAUCGUAAGAUAGAGUUUGAGAGUGGCGAACGGGUGAGUAACACGUAGGAAUCUACCCUUAAGACGGGGACAACCCAGGGAAACUUGGGCUAAUACCGGAUGAGAGUGCGAGAGAUUGCAUUUAAAAGGAUGGCGAAAGUUGUCGCUUAGGGAUGAGCCUGCGGUCUAUUAGUUAGUUGGUGAGGUAAGAGCUCACCAAGGCGAUGAUAGAUAGGCGGCCUUAACGGGUGGUCGCCCACACUGGGAUUGAGAUACGGCCCAGACUCCUACGGGGGCAGCAGUCGAGAAUAGUCUACAAUGGCCGGAAGGCUGAUAGUGCGACGCCGCGUGAACGAGGGAGCCCUUCGGGUGUAAAGUUCUUUUCUAUACGAGCAGUGCUAUAUAUAUGGAUAGUAUAUAUAGAGGGAUAGUAGUAUAGGAAUAAGCAACGGCUAACUCCGUGCCAGCAGCCGCGGUAA
This 508-nucleotide ribosomal RNA is filed under the name uncultured bacterium. RNAcentral describes it as "bacterial SSU rRNA". It matches the Rfam family "Bacterial small subunit ribosomal RNA", at positions 28 to 523 of the family's 1533-position model. The record is from RNAcentral.